This 254-nucleotide ribosomal RNA is filed under the name uncultured bacterium. RNAcentral describes it as "partial 16S ribosomal RNA". It matches the Rfam family "Bacterial small subunit ribosomal RNA", at positions 524 to 776 of the family's 1533-position model. The record is from RNAcentral.
UACGUAGGAGGCAAGCGUUGUCCGGAGUUACUGGGCGUAAAGGGCCCGCAGGCGGUGGAGUAAGUUUGGAGUGACAGUUCCCAGCUUAACCGGGAAAGGACUUCGAAAACUGCUCGACUUGAGGACUGGAGAGGAAGGCGGAAUUCCGGGUGGAGCGGUGAAAUGCGUAGAGAUCCGGAGGAACACCGACGGCGAAGGCAGCCUUCUGGAAAGUACCUGACGCUGAGGGCGAAAGCUAGGGGAGGCGAAGCAGG